AUUUCAUAACUCUCACAACAACCAUGAAUUCUCUUCGUUACAUAGCAACAUCUCUAUGUUGUGUAGUGGUUGUGUUUGGAAUGUUACCAUUCUCCUUAGAUGCACAACUGGAUCCAUCUUUUUACAGCAAAACAUGUACAAAUGUUAGUUCUAUUGUUCGUGAAGUCGUAAGGAAUGUUUCUAAGACGGAUCCUCGUAUGCUUGGUAGUCUCGUCAGGCUCUACUUUCAUGACUGUUUUGUUCAAGGUUGUGAUGCAUCAGUUUUGUUGAACAACACUGCCACUAUUGUGAGUGAACAACAAGCUUUCCCAAAUAACAACUCCUUAAGAGGUUUAGAUGUUGUGAAUCAAAUUAAGACAGCUGUGGAAAGUGUUUGUCCUAACACAGUUUCUUGUGCUGAUAUUCUUGCCCUUGCUGCUCAAGUAUCUUCUAGUCUGGCUGGUGGUCCUGAUUGGAAAGUUCCAUUAGGAAGAAGAGAUAGUUUAACAGCAAACCAAUCUCUUGCAAAUCAAAAUCUUCCAGCUCCAUUCGACACAUUGGAUAAACUUAAAUCUGCAUUUGUUGCUCAAGGUCUCAAUACUACUGAUCUAGUUGCUCUCUCGGGUGCUCAUACAUUUGGAAGAGCUCAUUGCUCUUUUAUUCUUAGUCGAUUAUACAACUUCAGCAAUACUGGAAAUCCUGAUCCAACUCUAAACACAACUUAUUUACAAGAUUUGCGCCAAAUAUGUCCCAAUAGUGGACCAAAUAACCUUGUCAAUUUUGAUCCAACAACUCCUGAUAAAUUUGACAAAAACUACUACUCUAAUCUUCAAGUCAAAAAGGGUUUGCUUCAAAGUGAUCAAGAGUUGUUCUCAACAUCUGGUGCUGAUACAAUUAGCAUUGUCAACAAAUUCAGCUCUGACCAAAAUGCUUUUUUUGAGAGCUUUAAGGCUGCAAUGAUUAAAAUGGGCAAUAUUGGUGUGCUAACUGGAAACAAAGGAGAGAUUAGAAAACAAUGCAACUUUAUUAAUCAAAAGUCAUCAAAUCUAGCUACUAUGGUCUCCGAAGAAUCAUUUGAGGCUGGUAUGGCUAGCUCAAUAUAAAUUCAGGGACAUUCUUUUUCCACUUCACAUACACUUUCUCUCCCAACCAUAAACAUGAACUCUCUUCUUUUAGUAGCAACAGCUCUAUGCUAUAUUGUGGUUGUGUUUGGAGUAUUACCCUUUUCCUCAAAUGCACAACUUGAUCCAUCCUUUUACAGCAAAACAUGUCCAAAUGUUAGUUCUAUUGUUCGUGAAGUUGUAAGGAACGUUUCUAAGACGGAUCCUCGUAUGCUUGCUAGUCUUGUCCGGCUUCACUUUCAUGACUGUUUUGUUCAAGGUUGUGACGCAUCAGUUUUGUUGAACAAGACUGAUACUAUUGUGAGCGAACAACAAGCUUUCCCAAAUAACAACUCUUUAAGAGGUUUAGAUGUUGUGAAUCAGAUCAAGACUGCAUUGGAAAGUGUUUGUCCUAACACAGUUUCUUGUGCUGAUAUUCUUGCUCUUGCUGCUGAAUUAUCUUCAACUCUGGCUGGUGGUCCUGAUUGGAAAGUUCCAUUAGGAAGAAGAGAUAGUUUAACAGCAAACCAAUCUCUAGCUAAUAUAAAUCUUCCAGCUCCAUUCGACACAUUGGACAAACUUAAAUCUGCUUUUGCUGCUCAAGGCCUCAACACUACUGAUCUAGUUGCUCUCUCAGGUGCUCAUACAUUUGGAAGAGCUCAUUGCAACUUAUUUGUUAGUCGAUUGUACAACUUCAGCAAUACUGGCAGUCCUGAUCCAACUCUAAACACAACUUAUUUAAAAGAUUUGCGCAAAAUAUGUCCUAAUAGUGGACCAGGCAAUAACCUCGCCAAUUUUGAUCCGACGACUCCUGAUAAAUUUGAUAAAAACUAUUACUCUAAUCUUAAGGUGAAAAAGGGUUUGCUUCAAAGUGAUCAAGAAUUGUUCUCAACAUCUGGCGCAGAUACUAUUGACAUUGUUAACAAAUUCAGCACCGACCAAAAAGCCUUUUUUGAAAGCUUUAAGGCUGCCAUGAUUAAAAUGGGCAAUAUUGGUGUGCUAACUGGAAACAAAGGAGAGAUUAGAAAACAAUGCAACUUUAUUACUUUCCCAAAUAACAACUCUUUAAGAGGUUUAGAUGUUGUGAAUCAGAUCAAGACUGCAUUGGAAAGUGUUUGUCCUAACACAGUUUCUUGUGCUGAUAUUCUUGCUCUUGCUGCUGAAUUAUCUUCAACUCUGGCUGGUGGUCCUGAUUGGAAAGUUCCAUUAGGAAGAAGAGAUAGUUUAACAGCAAACCAAUCUCUAGCUAAUAUAAAUCUUCCAGCUCCAUUCGACACAUUGGACAAACUUAAAUCUGCUUUUGCUGCUCAAGGCCUCAACACUACUGAUCUAGUUGCUCUCUCAGGUGCUCAUACAUUUGGAAGAGCUCAUUGCAACUUAUUUGUUAGUCGAUUGUACAACUUCAGCAAUACUGGCAGUCCUGAUCCAACUCUAAACACAACUUAUUUACAAGAUUUGCGCAAAAUAUGUCCUAAUAGUGGACCAGGCAAUAACCUCGCCAAUUUUGAUCCGACGACUCCUGAUAAAUUUGAUAAAAACUAUUACUCUAAUCUUAAGGUGAAAAAGGGUUUGCUUCAAAGUGAUCAAGAAUUGUUCUCAACAUCUGGCGCAGAUACUAUUGACAUUGUUAACAAAUUCAGCACCGACCAAAAAGCCUUUUUUGAAAGCUUUAAGGCUGCCAUGAUUAAAAUGGGCAAUAUUGGUGUGCUAACUGGAAACAAAGGAGAGAUUAGAAAACAAUGCAACUUUAUUAAUCAAAAGUCAUCAAAUCUAGCUACUAUGGUCUCCGAAGAAUCAUCUGAAGAUGGUAUGGCUAGUGCAAUAUAAAUAAAGGAAGCUUUUUUUUCACCUCAUAUAUACUUUAAAAUUACACUCUUAGAAAAAUAUAUUUUUCUAAGAUGUAUGUGUAGUUUUUCAGAAAUGUGAGGAAAAAAAAGUCUCCAAAUAAAUUAGGGUUGUUGUUGUUGUUGAAAUCCUAUGAUUAGAAGCCAAUCAGAAAGUCCUUUUUGUAUUAUGAGACCUUCUUUUCAUGUGCUCUAUAUAUGUAGUAAAUGGUUCAUUCCAAAACAAAAAGGUCCAAUAACAAAGUUAUCCCAAAA
Molecule: non-coding RNA, 3178 nt
Organism: Cicer arietinum (chickpea)
Lineage: Eukaryota; Viridiplantae; Streptophyta; Magnoliopsida; Fabales; Fabaceae
Source: RefSeq, a predicted model, not a curated record